CAAUGUUGAAAGACGGUUUCGGCUGUCACUUAUAGAUGGACCCGCGCCGUUUUAGCUAGUUGGUAAGGUAACGGCUUACCAAGGCAACGAUACGUAGCCGACCUGAGAGGGUGAUCGGCCACACUGGAACUGAGACACGGUCCAGACUCCUACGGGAGGCAGCAGUAGGGAAUCUUCCGCAAUGGGCGAAAGCCUGACGGAGCAACGCCGCGUGAGUGAUGAAGGUCUUAGGAUCGUAAAACUCUGUUGUUAGGGAAGAACAAAUUUGUUAGUAACUGAACAAGUCUUGACGGUACCUAACCAGAAAGCCACGGCUAACUACGUGCCAGCAGCCGCGGUAAUACGUAGGUGGCAAGCGUUAUCCGGAAUUAUUGGGCGUAAAGCGCGCGUAGGCGGUUUCUUAAGUCUGAUGUGAAAGCCCACGGCUCAACCGUGGAGGGUCAUUGGAAACUGGGGAACUUGAGUGCAGAAGAGGAGAGUGGAAUUCCAUGUGUAGCGGUGAAAUGCGCAGAGAUAUGGAGAAACCCCCGGGGGGGAAGGGGGGCUCUCUGGUCUGAAACUGACGCUGAUGUGGGAAAGCGUGGGGAUCAAACAGGAUUAGAUACCCUGGUAGUCCACGCCGUAAACGAUGAGUGCUAAGUGUUAGGGGGUUUCCGCCCUUUAGUGCUGCAGCUAACGCAUUAAGCACUCCGCCUGGGGAGUACGACCGCAAGGUUGAAACUCAAAGGAAUUGACGGGGACCCGCACAAGCGGUGGAGCAUGUGGUUUAAUUCGAAGCAACGCGAAGAACCUUACCAAAUCUUGACAUCCUUUGACCGCUCUAGAGAUAGAGUUUUCCCCUUCGGGGGACAAAGUGACAGGUGGUGCAUGGUUGUCGUCAGCUCGUGUCGUGAGAUGUUGGGUUAAGUCCCGCAACGAGCGCAACCCUUAAGCUUAGUUGCCAUCAUUAAGUUGGGCACUCUAGGUUGACUGCCGGUGACAAACCGGAGGAAGGUGGGGAUGACGUCAAAUCAUCAUGCCCCUUAUGAUUUGGGCUGCACACGUGCUACAAUGGAUAAUACAAAGGGCAGCGAACCCGCGAGGUCAAGCAAAUCCCAUAAAAUUAUUCUCAGUUCGGAUUGUAGUCUGCAACUCGACUACAUGAAGCUGGAAUCGCUAGUAAUCGUAGAUCAGCAUGCUACGGUGAAUACGUUCCCGGGUCUUGUACACACCGCCCGUCACACCACGAGAGUUUGUAACACCCGAAGCCGGUGGAGUAACCUUUUAUUAGGAGCUAGCCGUCGAAGGUGGGACAGAUGAUUGG
RNAcentral lists this ribosomal RNA (1303 nucleotides) under uncultured bacterium. RNAcentral describes it as "bacterial SSU rRNA". It matches the Rfam family "Bacterial small subunit ribosomal RNA", at positions 195 to 1478 of the family's 1533-position model. The record is from RNAcentral.